Molecule: long non-coding RNA, 605 nt
Filed under: Penaeus japonicus
Lineage: Eukaryota; Metazoa; Arthropoda; Malacostraca; Decapoda; Penaeidae
Description: uncharacterized LOC122255585
Source: RNAcentral
GCAAGUGGUUCUCCACGCUCUUUCUCUUGUCUCGUUGCCAAUUUCCCUUUUCUUCUCAAGAUUAUUUUGUGACUGAUUCUGAGAAGAUUUUUUGCGUCAUGACUUUGGAAUAAGUUAUAAAUGAAUCAAAAACCAAGUUGAGACAAGGUGACGCGACUGAAUAAGAACAAGAACCAUGGAGACGCUGAAUUACAAGGAGCAGAGGGUGGACAGAACGCCACUCAAAAGCUAGCCAACGCCCAAGAACUCGUUGGGCAGCACGUCUUGGACAUGUCUCACAGCGCCGCCCACGCCACGUCGUCUCUCCCGGCGCCCAGGCGAAGGAUAUCGGCCGUUACAAGGUCCAGUAAGGAGAUGGAUCUGGAAGCCAUCAGAGAGAGAAGGUCUCGCCUGGAGGCCCUCACCGCCUCCCUCCGCCUCCCCCCACUCCUGCCAAGCUCAGGGGAACGGAGACAGUCCACCCCCAGCGCCUCCUCCGCGCUACAGCAAGUCAAACCUCGUCGGAGGCUCAAGACCGAGCGACCUCCGACCUCAACCCAAGGUCCUGCUAAUUCAGGGAAGCAGAUAGCCUCGGAGGCGAAACUGCCCGCUCUCUCCCUCCCUCC